CUUUGCACAAGCUUGCUGACAAUGUGUAGACACUUGUCCACAAAUUCUAUUCUGUUCUAUUCCAUAACGUGUGGAUUUCACUUUGGAAGUUUCAAUGGAAACAUGACAAUCACAGUUCACAUUCGAAGCUGUGAGCAGCUCCUACUGGCCAAACUGGGUGUGAGAAGGCAAAUAGCCAUGUGCAAGCAGCGCUGGAAGGGACUGGGACUAACGACCGUCUAUCAGCCCGUACACUCAUAGCAAAGCAGCAAAAUUGACUGAUGUGUGUGUCUCUGUGUGUUUGUGUGUGUGUGUGUGAGAGAGACUGACUGGCGUGCGUGCGUUUGUGUGUAUUGACCAGGGCUGUGGUGCAUUGUAGUUGCAUUGCAUGUGUGUGUACAUGGUGUGCAAUGCGCCUUCCAUGCAACACAGAGCUGUGUCAUGAUAACACACACAUUGUGCAUGCUGUGGAUAUCAGUCUUUAAAAUUGCAAGGAAUAAUUAAAUAAAGUCAAGGUCUGAUUCUGAAACUUUUUAA
This is a long non-coding RNA of Oncorhynchus kisutch (coho salmon), 516 nucleotides long. RefSeq lists it as uncharacterized. The transcript has 2 exons. NCBI's taxonomy places the organism in Eukaryota, Metazoa, Chordata, Actinopteri, Salmoniformes, Salmonidae. The record is from RefSeq and is a predicted model, not a curated record.